GGUUUCACCAUGUUGGCCAGGCUGGUCUCGACUCCUGACCUCAGGUGAUCCACCCGCCUCAGCCUCUCAAAGUGCUAGGAUUACAGGCGUGAGCCACUGUGCCCGCCUUUUUUGUUUUUUUGAGACGAGUGCAAUGGCUCCAUUUCAGCUCACUGCAACCUCAACCUCCCGUGUUCAAAUGAUUCUCCUGCCUCAGCCUCACGAGUAGCUGAGAUUAGAGGUGUGCGUCACCACACCUGGCUAAUUUUUGUAUUUUUGGUAGAGACGGGGUUUAUCUAUGUUGGCCAGGCUAGUCUCAAACUCCUGACCUCAAGUGAUCCUCCCACCUUGGCUUCCCAAAGUGCUGGGAUUACAGGCAUGAACCACCAUGCUCGGCUUGUCAGUUCUUAUUUCACUGUUUGAUCAUCUGUUUUCUGAGUUGUGAUUUUUGUAUUUGUGGUAUUAUUUAAUAUCUUCAAUUGCUUAUUUAAUUAUUCCUAAUAAGACCCCCUCCCAGAUAUAACCAGUAUUCUGACCUCUAGUACCCUAGAUAAGUCUUAUCUAUUUUGAGCUUCCCAUAAAUGGAGAAUACAUUAUGUAUUCUUUUGUUUCUGAUUAUUUUCCUCAAUAUUUUAUCUGGAAGAUUCAUUAAUAUCAUUGCAUGCAGUAGUAGUUCAUAAUCUUUCAUUUUUCUAAAGCAUUGUACAUA
This 688-nucleotide long non-coding RNA is filed under the name Homo sapiens (human). RNAcentral describes it as "HSALNT0121809". Lineage: Eukaryota; Metazoa; Chordata; Mammalia; Primates; Hominidae. The record is from RNAcentral.